This 253-nucleotide ribosomal RNA is filed under the name uncultured bacterium. RNAcentral describes it as "partial 16S ribosomal RNA". It matches the Rfam family "Bacterial small subunit ribosomal RNA", at positions 524 to 776 of the family's 1533-position model. The record is from RNAcentral.
UACGAAGGGGGCUAGCGUUGCUCGGAAUCACUGGGCGUAAAGGGUGCGUAGGCGGGUCUUUAAGUCAGGGGUGAAAUCCUGGAGCUCAACUCCAGAACUGCCUUUGAUACUGAAGAUCUUGAGUUCGGGAGAGGUGAGUGGAACUGCGAGUGUAGAGGUGAAAUUCGUAGAUAUUCGCAAGAACACCAGUGGCGAAGGCAGCUCGCUGGGACGGUACUGACGCUGAGGCGCGAAAGCGUGGGGAGCAAACAGG